GAGUUUGAUCUUGGCUCAGAUUGAACGCUGGCGGCAGGCCUAACACAUGCAAGUCGAGCGGUAGAGAGAAGCUUGCUUCUCUUGAGAGCGGCGGACGGGUGAGUAAUGCCUAGGAAUCUGCCUGGUAGUGGGGGAUAACGUUCGGAAACGGACGCUAAUACCGCAUACGUCCUACGGGAGAAAGCAGGGGACCUUCGGGCCUUGCGCUAUCAGAUGAGCCUAGGUCGGAUUAGCUAGUUGGUGAGGUAAUGGCUCACCAAGGCGACGAUCCGUAACUGGUCUGAGAGGAUGAUCAGUCACACUGGAACUGAGACACGGUCCAGACUCCUACGGGAGGCAGCAGUGGGGAAUAUUGGACAAUGGGCGAAAGCCUGAUCCAGCCAUGCCGCGUGUGUGAAGAAGGUCUUCGGAUUGUAAAGCACUUUAAGUUGGGAGGAAGGGCAGUUACCUAAUACGU
RNAcentral lists this ribosomal RNA (457 nucleotides) under bacterium enrichment culture clone ALO1_GLFRUDD03FNSFE. RNAcentral describes it as "bacterial SSU rRNA". It matches the Rfam family "Bacterial small subunit ribosomal RNA", at positions 9 to 468 of the family's 1533-position model. The record is from RNAcentral.